UAAGCGUGAGGACCCUCCGCCCGGGAAGUGGCCCAGGGAAAGGCAGAGGGGAGCGUGGGAGCUGUUUAUCCCGAGGAGAGACACCACACGAAUCAGGCUCCUACUGAAUUUUCCCCGAUUAUUAGUGUGCAUUUGUGUGGGCAGUGGAGGAAUCCGCUUGUUAAAUAUCUCUUGGAAAUCCAUUAGCUCAGCAUCCGACUUUUGGAGGUAAAGAAGCAGAGAUUUAGCGAACAGAAGCCCCCAAGCGAUCACUGGGGAGAUAUCGGCUGUUGGGGUGCAGCGCCCUGAGUCCCCUUCGUAAACACCUUUCCACGCUGUUGGGGCCAAAAGUGGAAUGAUUUUGCAGCACAUUACGGCUGCAGAAAGCUUCAGCCAGAAGCUGUUUGACAGCGACUGAUGUCGCUGUGCGUCAUGACAGCUUUGAGGCUAGCAGGCCGUGGCACCGUCAUCUGCAGACACGUGGCCUGAGAAGGCCAACGAGAGUGAACGGUUGCAUGUUUGAACUUCAGUACAACAGGGUAUGUAAGUCUUAUCAAAGGCACUGUAGUGGUUACUGCAACGUAAUUCUAGAUAACACCAAGGACCUCGGUUUGUAUCCUUUUUCCACAAGAGACGUCCAGCUGAAAUUUUCAGGGUCUUGGAGUGCACGUGGGAAUUUCAAGGUUGCAUUACGAGCUUGGAGCUGGAAAACUAGUUGUGAACUCUUCUCCUCGCUGGAUACUAACAUCAUGCAGCUUGCUUAUCCAUUCAUCCCCGCGUCCCACGCUCGUCACCAUGGAACGAGAAAACCCAGAGGGGUGAUUCUGGUAACAGGUCCGUGAGCCCAGCAGGCAGAGCUCGGGGGGACGGCCCGUGCUGUCCGCGGCAGAGCGACCACCAGCUGCCACUCCGCGUGCUGCCUGUGAAACCAGCCYGGGCCUCUUCGUACUUAAUUAGCUGCCCAGCCCCAAGCUUCCUGUGGCCAAAUUGCAAAAUAAAUAAAUGAAAACAUCUUUUUUUUUUUUUGGG
RNAcentral lists this long non-coding RNA (1008 nucleotides) under Dromaius novaehollandiae (emu). Its description in RNAcentral is "lncRNA (ENSDNVG00000003897.1)". The record is from RNAcentral. Lineage: Eukaryota; Metazoa; Chordata; Aves; Casuariiformes; Dromaiidae.